Molecule: non-coding RNA, 46 nt
Organism: Schistosoma haematobium
Lineage: Eukaryota; Metazoa; Platyhelminthes; Trematoda; Strigeidida; Schistosomatidae
Source: Rfam
GCACAGCUCAGGAGUCCCAUAAUAGGACGAAACGGCCGUCCAGUGC